UUUUUUUUUUUUUUUUGCAUUGAUUUUUAUGGUGUUUUAAGAGAUGGGUUUGAGUUCUAAGCAGGUUUCUAGUGAUGGGUUAGAUUGGAGCCAGACCCUUUUGCAGCAGGCACAGACCUUGGAGCUCCCUAAACCUCCUCUUUUAAGGCGGCAACAGCAACAAAACCAGCAGCAAUCAGAGCCCUUGAAGUGCCCGAGAUGUGACUCAACCAAC
Molecule: unclassified non-coding RNA, 214 nt
Filed under: Hevea brasiliensis (rubber tree)
Lineage: Eukaryota; Viridiplantae; Streptophyta; Magnoliopsida; Malpighiales; Euphorbiaceae
Source: RNAcentral